Molecule: ribosomal RNA, 446 nt
Filed under: uncultured bacterium
Lineage: Bacteria
Description: partial 16S ribosomal RNA
Rfam family: Bacterial small subunit ribosomal RNA
Source: RNAcentral
CCUACGGGUGGCAGCAGUCGAGAAUCAUUCACAAUGGGGGAAACCCUGAUGGUGCGACGCCGCGUGGGGGAAUGAAGGUCUUCGGAUUGUAAACCCCUGUCAUGGGGGAGCAAAUGAAAGAGAUAGUACGACGAGAGGAAGAGACGGCUAACUCUGUGGCAGCAGCCGCGGUCAUACAGAGGGCUCAAGCGUUGUUCGGAAUCAAUGGGCGGAAAGCGUGCGUCGGCUGGGUCGUAAGGCGUGUGUGCAAGGCGCGGGCUCAACCCCCGGCCGGCACAUGAUACUGCGAGACUAGAGUGAGGGAGGGGGAUCCGGAAUGCUCGGUGUAGCAGUGAAAUGCGUAGAUAUCGCGAAGAACACUGGUGGCGAAGGCAGGUUCCUGGACAAUAACUGACGCUGAGGAGCGAAAGCGUGGGUAGCGAACAGGAUUAGAUACCCGAGUAGUC